GCUGCCCUCAAGCACGGCUUGUGUGUUGGGCUCUCGCCCCCCCGUCUCGGGAGGGCGGGCCCGAAAGGCAGCGGCGGCACCGCGUCCGGUCCUCGAGCGUAUGGGGCUUCGUCACCCGCUCUGUAGGCCCGGCCGGCGCCCGCCGGCGAACACCCCUCAAUCUUAACCAGG
Penicillium ucsense is the source of this 171-nucleotide non-coding RNA. Lineage: Eukaryota; Fungi; Ascomycota; Eurotiomycetes; Eurotiales; Aspergillaceae. The record is from the annotation of a GenBank genome assembly.